RNAcentral lists this ribosomal RNA (301 nucleotides) under uncultured bacterium. Its description in RNAcentral is "partial 16S ribosomal RNA". It matches the Rfam family "Bacterial small subunit ribosomal RNA", at positions 509 to 807 of the family's 1533-position model. The record is from RNAcentral.
CAGUCGCCGCGGUAAAACGUAGGGUGCAAGCGUUAAUCGGAAUUACUGGGCGUAAAGCGUGCGCAGGCGGUUUUGUAAGACAGAGGUGAAAUCCCCGGGCUCAACCUGGGAACUGCCUUUGUGACUGCAAGGCUAGAGUACGGCAGAGGGGGAUGGAAUUCCGCGUGUAGCAGUGAAAUGCGUAGAUAUGCGGAGGAACACCGAUGGCGAAGGCAAUCCCCUGGGCCUGUACUGACGCUCAUGCACGAAAGCGUGGGGAGCAAACAGGAUUAGAUACCCCGGUAGUCCCUGUCUCUUAUAC